GUUCAUGAUGAUCAUUUUCGUAUCAAUAUACGCUGGAAAUUACCGGCUGAGUUUUUCAUUGAUGAUAACAAAUGGCUAUUUCUGAUU
This 87-nucleotide small nucleolar RNA is filed under the name Tolypocladium ophioglossoides CBS 100239. RNAcentral's name for it is "A. fumigatus snoRNA Afu_300". It matches the Rfam family "A. fumigatus snoRNA Afu_300". Lineage: Eukaryota; Fungi; Ascomycota; Sordariomycetes; Hypocreales; Ophiocordycipitaceae. The record is from Rfam by way of RNAcentral.